UACGAAGGGGGCUAGCGUUGCUCGGAAUCACUGGGCGUAAAGCGCACGUAGGUGGCUUGUUAAGUUAGAGGUGAAAGCCCCGCGCUCAACGUGGGAACUGCCUUUAAAACUGGCGAGCUUGAGAGUAUCAGAGGAAGGCGGAAUUACUGGUGUAGAGGUAAAAUUCAUAGAUAUCAGUAGGAACAUCCAUGGCGAAGGCAGCUUCUGGGAUACAUCUGACACUGAGAG
Molecule: ribosomal RNA, 228 nt
Filed under: uncultured bacterium
Lineage: Bacteria
Description: partial 16S ribosomal RNA
Rfam family: Bacterial small subunit ribosomal RNA
Source: RNAcentral